This 776-nucleotide non-coding RNA is filed under the name Cucujoidea sp. 44 KM-2017. The record is from RNAcentral. Lineage: Eukaryota; Metazoa; Arthropoda; Insecta; Coleoptera.
AUAAAGUUUUAUUUUAGCUUAAGGUUUAGUUAUUUAAUAAGUGUAUAUAUAAGUUAAUGCGGGGGGUUUUAAAAUUUUAAAUUUUAAAAUUUUUAAUUUAUGUAAUAUAAAGCUUUAAAAGUUAAUGAAAAUUAGAUUUAGUUAUUUAAUUUAAUAUUAACAGAAUUUGUGCCAGCAGUUGCGGUUACACAAAUAAUAUAAAUUAAAUUGAUCAAUAAUAAUUAAUUUGGGGGAAUUAAAAUUUUAUUGUUAUUUUUAUUGGGUGGAAUUUUAAAAAUAAUUUAAAAUUAGUGAGGGUUAAUGAAGUUAGUAAAUUUGGGGAUAAACUAGGAUUAGAUACCCUAUUAUUAAUAAUGUAUUUGUUUUAUAUUGAAUUAUUAAUAGUUAUGUUCUUUAAAAUUAAAAAAUUUGGCGGUAUUUUAGUCUAUUUAGAGGAACUUGUCCUGUAAUUGAUAGUCCACGAUUAAAAAUAUUUAUAUUAAAAAUUUAUAUAUCGUCGUAGUUGAAUAUUUUUAUAGAAUUUAAUAUUCAAGAUUUUUUAUUAUAAUACAAAUCAGAUCAAGAUAUAGUUUAUGUAUAAAAAGAGGUGAGUUACAUUAAUUUUAAUUAUAGAUUAAAAUUUGUAAAAUUUUAUGAAAUUGGAUUUAAAAGUAAUUUUAUUUAGUUUAAUUAAAAUGAUUUUAGCUCUAAAAUAUGUACAUAUCGCCCGUCGCUUUCAUAUAAAAUGAAAUAAGUCGUAACAAAGUAGUUUUAUCGGAAGAUGAGGCUAGAAAGAA